RNAcentral lists this long non-coding RNA (2441 nucleotides) under Capra hircus (goat). RNAcentral's name for it is "lncRNA (ENSCHIG00000006109.1)". Lineage: Eukaryota; Metazoa; Chordata; Mammalia; Artiodactyla; Bovidae. The record is from RNAcentral.
CCCAAAACCCCGGAAUGCUACAUGGUUCCCCCUUAUCCUCUCAUUUCCCAAUAUAAAAAGAAGACAGAGUGACACUUUGAGCUUGAGCUUGUGAUUGCAAAUGUACUUUUGUCAUUUGGAGGGCAAAGCUAUUGCCCACGAUUGCCCUUCCAGAGCACUGGACCAGGAGGAGCUGCUGGUUGAAGGUACUGGAAGAAAGCAGAAAUAAAAAGCUCUGGAGGCUGGGGAUCAAGACGUUCCAAGAAACGUCUGGCACAUAUCAACGCAGUCCUUUGCAGAGGUACCUUGCUCAGGGCUGCACGCCUACUUUGGGAUCAAACCACAAAUGCCUACAGAUACCAGCCAGGUCAACCUAGUGACAAAAGAAGGAUACUGUGGGGAACUAGUGUUAGGGGCUGCAGAGAACAAGACAGCUUCUUGUCCAUCUCAACAGGACACCUGCUGCUGCUCUGGGUGAUUGACGAUAUUAAAAUGAGGGCAUCAUGAGGUGGCCCGUGGUUCCUGGAAUGUGGGAAAAGUAGUUUUCGUCCAAAACUUUAUGUUUAAAUAUUGGAAAUUCAGUUAAUUUAAAUAUCUUUGUUGCAGUUGAUAUUGGCUAAAAUAAAAUGAGUUUGGACUGGAUUCCACUGGAGGCCUCUCUCAUCUCUGCUUCUGUCCUAGGUAUUUGUUGGACCUCUUCCCUGGGUGGAGAAGACAGAGGCAUUUCAGGUGGCAAAACCAUAAGGAAUAUAAGUUUUGUCCUGGUGAGGUACAGAAAAGUAUGUUUCCUCUCUUUCUCAUUUGUCCUUUUCGCCUUCCUUGUACCAUCAGCCACAGAAUUCACAAAUGACACUCAUACGCCUUGUCCUCAGCUACAGAAGUACCCUGAACACAUAUACACAUAUAUACAUAUGCAUAUACACACACAUACACACGCACAAGCACACAUAUACACACACCCCACAGAAAUCUGGCAGGUGUGUCGACAGCCUGCUGACCUUUUGAAAUCCAUUAUCCUAGACUCGGGGGCCCAGCAGAAGCUCAUUUGAACAGGGAUCUAUGUUUAGCUGGUCACAUUUACACAGCACAUUUAUUUCUCCCGCGCAGUCUAAGAAGAAGACAGGGUGCAGUUCUCCCACAUCACAUAAGGACUUGUGUUUUCAUAAAAGAGGAAAACCAGGACUUCCCUGGUGGUCGGGUGGAUAGGGGUCCGCCUGCCAGUGUUCAAUCUCCGGUCCGGGAAGAUUCCCCAUGCUGGGGUGCAGAUAAACUCGAGUGCGGCAACUACUGAGCCCACACUCUUGAGCUCUCAAGCCACAACUCCUGAGCCUGGGAGCUGCAGCUGGAGCCUGUGCUUGGCAGCAAGAGAAGCCACCUCCAUGAGAAGCCCAUGCACCGCAACGGAGAGUAACUCCCACUUGCUGCCACUAGAGAAAGCAACGAAGACCUAGCACAACCACAUUAGUUAGUCAAUUGAUCAACCAUUAAAAAAUAAAAUAAAAGGGGAAAACCUCAGAGGCCGCUCCCUCUCUUGGGGUCAACAGCUGCUUGAGAAGGCCUGGGCUCUUCCCUGGUGCUCAUUAGUCACGUCUGCAUGCAGGCCUGGUACCAAGCGGAAGAAAGAACUCUCAGGAGACAAGGGUGGAAGAUGGAGGACUCAGCUUUCUUGGCAAACGUCUUAGAUGGUCCCCACUGCUGAGAGGCAGCAAAGGGCAGAUCGAGCACUGGACAGAGAGCCCUAAGAGAAGCCCAGGGUCCCAGGACAGGCGGCUUCCUCCUUUCACCUGCAUUCUGAAGCAGCUGUGAAAGCCAUACACGAUUUGUGAAAAUAUUUUUAAACGGUAAAAUGCUUUACAAGUAGAAGGCAUCGCUGCUUUAUUAUUUUUUUUAAUGAACAAAUGACCUGGAGGGAUGGUACGGGGAGGGAGGUGGGAGGGGGGUUCAGGAUGGGGAACACAUGUAUGCCCGUGGCAGAUUCAUGUUGAUGUGUGGCAGAACCAAUACAAUAUUGUAUAGUAAUUAGCCUCCAAUUGACAUAAAUAAAUUAAAAAAUAAUUUCCCGUUUUGAAACAUUUUGUUCACCAUUUUUAAUGGCCACAAGGUAGGAUUUGGUCUUAGGAAUGAGCACCCAAUUACCUGAACCACCAGGUACAUCCCCGCCGCCCACCCCGCCCUGGUCUGAAUUAUGUCUGGGAUCAAAGGGCUACUUUAAGAUCAAAAGACUCUACAAUCCAGAAACCCAGAAACUGGCUUUGCCUCACCCUUGGCCUCCUAGAGAGGACCAGUUGCUCCUCCAAACAGCAAGUCUUCUCUCCUCUUUCUUCCCCAGUGAGCUUGGCCUCCAUUUUUAUUUCCUUCCAAACCUGGAAAGUGAAGAAGGCACACAGCACUCUCCGGGCCAGUUCAGGAGGAAGGAGGGCAGACAGAUGAGCUGGCUUCUCCACGGUGGACACACAAGGGCU